GGAGUUCGAGACCAGCCUGGCCAACAUAAUGAAACCCCAUCUCUACUAAAAAUACAAAAAAUUAGCUGGGCGUGGUGGCGGGUGCCUAUAAUCCCAGCUACUUGGGAGACUGAGGCACGAGAAUUGCUUGAGGUGGAGGUUGCAGUGAGCCAAGCUUGCCCCCAUUGCACUCCAGCCUGGGCAACAGAGUGAGACUCCAUCUCAAAAAAACAAAAAACAAACAAAAAAACCCAAACAAACAAAAAGAUAGUUCCAAAAUUCUUGCCGGUCACAUUACAUCCCUCUAUGAAGAGAAGUCCUCCUUUUCAGAGCCAAGCUUUCAAGCUCUCAAGAUAAAACCAUUACCACUCUCUUUUUUCCAUAGAGAAUGAGAGAACCCUCUGAUGUGGAGUGAGCAGGACCUGAAAUUACUUCCAGAACUAUCCUUGGCACACACCACAAAGCCCCAAAGCUUUGACUUGUAAGUUUCUAUAGUCUUGCUGGUCAUGCCCUGGAAUGACUCAGCAGGAUCAAGACCAGUUACAAAAUUUUACCACUUUUCUUUGUGCCCAGUCUAGAAAGAUUUCUGAGAAGGGUUGUGAUGUAUCCCAAAUGAUAUGCAGAAGUGUAUGGGAGUGUAGGUGACUAUGCUGCAGGUAUGUUUUUUUGCCCAGUGUACACUUGUGAGGUCCUGGUCAACAUAAAGAAUAAAGACAGGUUGCCUCUUUGUUUUCACACUCGACUGUUCCCACUAUGCUAUGGCUAACUCUAUGAGUUCUCAAAAGUAAGCAUUUCCCUAAGUACUGCUGGUAUUUUGCCCAAACCCUUAACUAUUUCCUGUGGAUUUGAAAUGAGUUAUCUGUUUAGUAAAUGUCAAUGUUUCUCGGGGUAAUAGAAUGCAUGGCUAAGGUUCUGAGCAUCACAAAGCUCCUCAGGCAAACAUUUUCAAGAGCAGCUUCUCACAAAUAUUUUUCAAGGGUAGUAUGGAUUAAAUAAAGGAAUGUAGGUGAAGCGUGAUUAAGGUUCUAUCACUGGCAGCACUCAGACCUCGUUCAUCCUAAGAAUGCACAAAAAUAUAAGGAACAAAGGAGAAACGGAAAUUUGAAAGUUUUUAAGAUUCUGAGUGAGAAGAAAAUGCAUCCAAAAUAAGACCUGGUUGGAUGCCAUUCAUGCAAGCAUCUAAACCUUGCAAUAAAAAAAGAAUAUCCCCGACCUCACUUUUGCAGACAGAGAUAUUUUCAACCUUUUGCACCAAAAUAUCUCCGGUUGAGAGUUUUUUUUAAGUUCACAAGUGAAAGACUUUGGUCUAGACUGACUUUUUGCAGAGCAGAAAUCUUGACUUUUUUUCAUCUGUCUUCCUUUUCUCAGGUAACACUGAGUCCUUAAUACCGUCUUUGGCAACA
Molecule: long non-coding RNA, 1382 nt
Filed under: Homo sapiens (human)
Lineage: Eukaryota; Metazoa; Chordata; Mammalia; Primates; Hominidae
Description: non-protein coding lnc-SPATA31D4-12:1
Source: RNAcentral